This 555-nucleotide ribosomal RNA is filed under the name uncultured bacterium. RNAcentral describes it as "partial 16S ribosomal RNA". It matches the Rfam family "Bacterial small subunit ribosomal RNA", at positions 355 to 906 of the family's 1533-position model. The record is from RNAcentral.
UGGGGAAUUUUGGACAAUGGGCGAAAGCCUGAUCCAGCAAUGCCGCGUGUGUGAAGAAGGCCUUCGGGUUGUAAAGCACUUUUGUCCGGAAAGAAAUCCUUGGCUCUAAUACAGUCGGGGGAUGACGGUACCGGAAGAAUAAGCACCGGCUAACUACGUGCCAGCAGCCGCGGUAAUACGUAGGGUGCAAGCGUUAAUCGGAAUUACUGGGCGUAAGCGUGCGCAGGCGGUUUGCUAAGACCGAUGUGAAAUCCCCGGGCUCAACCUGGGAACUGCAUUGGUGACUGGCAGGCUAGAGUAUGGCAGAGGGGGGUAGAAUUCCACGUGUAGCAGUGAAAUGCGUAGAGAUGUGGAGGAAUACCGAUGGCGAAGGCAGCCCCCUGGGCCAAUACUGACGCUCAUGCACGAAAGCGUGGGGAGCAAACAGGAUUAGAUACCCUGGUAGUCCACGCCCUAAACGAUGUCAACUAGUUGUUGGGGAUUCAUUCCUUAGUAACGUAGCUAACGCGUGAAGUUGACCGCCUGGGGAGUACGGUCGCAAGAUUAAACUCAAUG